UGGGGAAUUUUGGACAAUGGGGCAACCCUGAUCCAGCAAUGCCGCGUGUGUGAAGAAGGCCUUCGGGUUGUAAAGCACUUUUGUCCGGAAAGAAAACGCCGUGGUUAAUACCCGUGGCGGAUGACGGUACCGGAAGAAUAAGCACCGGCUAACUACGUGCCAGCAGCCGCGGUAAUACGUAGGGUGCAAGCGUUAAUCGGAAUUACUGGGCGUAAAGCGUGCGCAGGCGGUCCGCUAAGACAGAUGUGAAAUCCCCGGGCUUAACCUGGGAACUGCAUUUGUGACUGGCGGGCUAGAGUAUGGCAGAGGGGGGUAGAAUUCCACGUGUAGCAGUGAAAUGCGUAGAGAUGUGGAGGAAUACCGAUGGCGAAGGCAGCCCCCUGGGCCAAUACUGACGCUCAUGCACGAAAGCGUGGGGAGCAAACAGGAUUCAGAUACCCUGGUAGUCCACGCCCUAAACGAUGUCAACUAGUUGUUGGGGGAUUUCAUUUUCCUUAGUAACGUAGCUGAAACCGUGAAGUUGACCGCCUGGGGAGUAA
Molecule: ribosomal RNA, 539 nt
Filed under: uncultured bacterium
Lineage: Bacteria
Description: partial 16S ribosomal RNA
Rfam family: Bacterial small subunit ribosomal RNA
Source: RNAcentral